UGACCAGGCUAUAUGAAUUGACUUCU
Molecule: non-coding RNA, 26 nt
Filed under: Mus musculus (house mouse)
Lineage: Eukaryota; Metazoa; Chordata; Mammalia; Rodentia; Muridae
Source: RNAcentral